UACGAAGGGGGCUAGCGUUGUUCGGAAUCACUGGGCGUAAAGCGCGCGUAGGCGGACCUGCAAGUCGGGGGUGAAAGCCCGAGGCUCAACCUCGGAACUGCCUUCGAUACUGCGGGUCUCGAGUCCGGGAGAGGUGAGUGGAAUUCCUAGUGUAGAGGUGAAAUUCGUAGAUAUUAGGAAGAACACCAGUGGCGAAGGCGGCUCACUGGCCCGGUACUGACGCUGAGGCGCGAAAGCGUGGGGAGCAAACAGG
RNAcentral lists this ribosomal RNA (253 nucleotides) under uncultured bacterium. Its description in RNAcentral is "partial 16S ribosomal RNA". It matches the Rfam family "Bacterial small subunit ribosomal RNA", at positions 524 to 776 of the family's 1533-position model. The record is from RNAcentral.